This 441-nucleotide ribosomal RNA is filed under the name Theraphosa apophysis. Its description in RNAcentral is "partial 16S ribosomal RNA". It matches the Rfam family "Archaeal large subunit ribosomal RNA", at positions 1924 to 2669 of the family's 2987-position model. Lineage: Eukaryota; Metazoa; Arthropoda; Arachnida; Araneae; Theraphosidae. The record is from RNAcentral.
UUCUAAUUGCUUAAUAAUUAGUAAGACCUGCACGAUGAUUACACAAACUUCAUUUGCCUUAAAUUGCCGCUAACGUGCUAAGGUAGCACAAUAAAUCGCCUGCUAAUUGUAGGAUAGGAUGAAAGGUCUAACGCGAACCUUUCUUUAUUAUUUUCUAUCUUUGAAAUUAUCGUAAAAGUAAAAAGACUUUUAUUAUUAGAGGGACGACAAGACCCUGUCGAGUUUAACUUAUGUUGAGCUGGGGCGGCUAAAAACAAAAUCUUUCAAUUUGACAUAACUAAAAUCCUUCAUUAUGAUACAACAAACUACCGCAGGGAUAACAGCAUAAUUUUUUCCCAGAGACCUUAUCAAAGAAAAAGAUUGUGACCUCGAUGUUGAAUAAAAAUCUCCUUAAAGCAAAAUUUAAGAAUAGAAAGUCUGUUCGACUUUUAAUAAUUUACA